AGAUGGCGACCGGCGCACGGGUGAGUAACACGUAUCCAACCUGCCGAUAACUCGGGGAUAGCCUUUCGAAAGAAAGAUUAAUACCCGAUGGCAUAAUAGAAUCGCAUGGUUUGAUUAUUAAAGAAUUUCGGUUAUCGAUGGGGAUGCGUUCCAUUAGGCAGUUGGUGGGGUAACGGCCCACCAAACCUUCGAUGGAUAGGGGUUCUGAGAGGAAGGUCCCCCACAUUGGAACUGAGACACGGUCCAA
This 247-nucleotide ribosomal RNA is filed under the name uncultured bacterium. RNAcentral describes it as "partial 16S ribosomal RNA". It matches the Rfam family "Bacterial small subunit ribosomal RNA", at positions 86 to 334 of the family's 1533-position model. The record is from RNAcentral.